CACCCAUGACAAUGGGCCAAGAGACACCUUGUUGACGGUGGUGUUUUUAUAUCAGUCAGGGGAGAGUAGGUAACAGUCCUUUGUUCAUCCUAGCUUGAUGCCUGGCUUGGUGGCCAAAGCUGUCUUAUGCCUAGGAUGCAUAA
Small nucleolar RNA from Mus musculus (house mouse), 143 nucleotides. RefSeq annotates it as small nucleolar RNA SNORA48. The transcript has a single exon. NCBI's taxonomy places the organism in Eukaryota, Metazoa, Chordata, Mammalia, Rodentia, Muridae. The record is from RefSeq and is a predicted model, not a curated record.